Molecule: long non-coding RNA, 651 nt
Filed under: Homo sapiens (human)
Lineage: Eukaryota; Metazoa; Chordata; Mammalia; Primates; Hominidae
Description: non-protein coding lnc-PRDM9-9:2
Source: RNAcentral
GUAAUACAGAUGGUGGGAAGAACAGGGUACUAUGGCAUCUGCUGUGGAAAGAAGAUAGAUCUAGGUGAUGGUUAAGUCUAAGACAAAGGAGGAGUAAAAUCAUCAAGGAAAGCAGGAGAGAGGGAAGGAAGUGGAAAGCAGACAAAAAAAAAAAAAAAACAACAGCAGCUGUAGAAGCCUGAGAAGAUGAGAGAGUCAAGUCCUUAGAGGGACUGAAAGCAGAGACAUAACGGCACAAAACGAGAUGGGAAAGUGACGGAGCAAUACAUGAGUCUGUAAUGAGUGGGAUUUAGGUGGGCAGCAGCACUUGGUUAUUUACAAGUUCAGGAUCCUGUUUAUAAAGCAAGGAAAGAUUGCUAUCUGUCUCCAGCACUAUGGCGAGAUAAUUAAUAGGAGCACUGCUGGAGACUGAUAGUGCAGGCGGCCGAUACCCAUGGCAGGAGCUCUCGUCAUCUAACUGCCACAGAAUUGUGAAGGUAAAGAAUCUGCAGAAAAGUGGAACAUUCAUUUUUACUAAAUAAAUGCAUUAUCUAUAGCACACAUUAUAGAGUUUUGUUGUUGUUGUUGUUAAUCUAACAUGUAACAGAAAUAAAAGAGAUUGUUUCUAAACCACUUUAAACUGUUCUGGCAACUACCUUAGACCCUUCUGGC